Molecule: ribosomal RNA, 1367 nt
Filed under: Phaedon tumidulus
Lineage: Eukaryota; Metazoa; Arthropoda; Insecta; Coleoptera; Chrysomelidae
Description: 16S ribosomal RNA
Rfam family: Archaeal large subunit ribosomal RNA (bases 1058-1216)
Source: RNAcentral
GUGAAAUUCAGUUUAAUUUGAAAUUUAUUUAUUAUUGUUUAUAAAAAUUUAAAAUUUAUUAAAAUAAGAAUAUUUUUUUUUAUUAUUUUAUAGAAAAAAUUUAUUUUAUUAUAGUUAAUUAUUAUUGAAGAAGAAUUAAAAUAAUUAUUUUUAAGAAAUAUUAAUUUUUUGUACCUUGUGUAUCAGGGUUUAUUAAAAAUUAAUUUAAAUAAAUUUAUCUCGAAUUUAAAAGAGCUAAAAAAUUAUAUUUUUUAUUGUAAAAUAAAUAUUAUUAAUAAUUUUUUAGUAAUGAAAUGUUAUUCGUUUUUAAAGUUAUCUAGUUUUUUAAGAAAUAAAUUUAAUUUAUUUAUUAUUAAUAAAAAUUUAAAUUUUUAAUUUUUUAUUAUUAAUAGUUAAUAUUUUUAGGGAUGAGCUUAAAAAUAGAUUCUUAUUAAUUUAUAUAUUUAAUAAAAUUGUAGGAUUAAAAUUUUUUAUCAAUAAAAAAAUGUUAUAAUUAAUUUAUAAUAAAAUAUUAUUUGUAUUUAUAUAUUAAGUUAUUUAUUAAAAUAUUAAUUUAAAUUAUUUAAAUUAAGUAAUUAUGAUAAAAUUAGUAUAAAAUAAUUUAAAUAUAUUUAUUAAAUUUAGGUUAAUUAAAGGAAUUCGGCAAAUUAUUUUUUACCUGUUUAUUAAAAACAUGUCUUUUUGAGAAUAAUUUAAAGUCUAACCUGCCCAAUGAUAAAUUUAAUGGCCGCGGUAUUUUGACCGUGCUAAGGUAGCAUAAUCAAUAGUUUUUUAAUUGAAAGCUGGAAUGAAGGGUUGGAUAAAAAAAUAACUGUCUUUAUUUUAUUUAAUUAGAAUUUUAUUUUUAAGUUAAAAAGCUUAAAUAUAAUUAAAAGACGAGAAGACCCUAUAGAGUUUAAUAUUUUAUAUUAUUUAUAAUUUAAGAAUUUAAUUUAUAAUUUUUAUGAAAUAUUUAAUUGGGGUGAUUAAAAAAUUAAAUUAACUUUUUUUAUGUAAAAACAUUAAUUAAUGAAAAUUUGAUCCAUAUAUAAUGAUUAUAAGAUAAAAUUACCUUAGGGAUAACAGCGUUAUUUUUUUUAAGAGUUCAAAUCGAAAAAAAAGAUUGCGACCUCGAUGUUGGAUUAAAAUUAAUUUUUGGUGUAGAAGCUAAAAAAUUAGGUCUGUUCGACCUUUAAAAUUUUACAUGAUCUGAGUUUAAACCGGUGUAAGCCAGGUUGGUUUCUAUCUUUAAUAUUUUAUAAUAUUUUAGUACGAAAGGAUUGAAUAUUAAAUUAAUAAUUUUAUAAUUGAAUUAUUAUAAUAGAGUUAUUUUGGCAGAAUAGUGCGAUGGAUUUAGAAUCUUUAUAUGUAAUUUAUAUUACAAAUAA